Molecule: unclassified non-coding RNA, 270 nt
Filed under: plant metagenome
Description: partial contains small subunit ribosomal RNA and internal transcribed spacer 1
Rfam family: Eukaryotic small subunit ribosomal RNA (bases 1-47)
Source: RNAcentral
AAUGUCGUAACAAGGUUUCCGUAGGUGAACCUGCGGAAGGAUCAUUAUUGAAUUGUGAAUGGGGCUUGAUGCUGGCUUGUCCAUCCUUUGGCUGCAUGUGCUCGCCCCAGCAAUCCUUUUCCAAACACCUGGUCGCUCAUCCAUUUCCUUGGUAGGAUGAAUCGGGAGAGAAAUUGGGCUUGCCUCUUUUAUCUCGUCUCAUGAAUUCAUAAACGUCUAGUUUGAUAAUGUUGAAUGCCAUUUAUGCGUCAAGGCUUUAACCUAAUACAA